AGAAAGGAAUGAGCUUAGUGAGUUAGAGGAAUAGAAGGAAAGCAACUCCAGAAGGCUUACCCACAGCUGGGUCUUAACUUUACAUGUGACGGGAAGCUGUUGGGGGACUUUGAGGAUGUGGUCACCUGAUUUCCAUUUUUAAAAAAGGUAACUUUGGAGACUGGAUUAGCACGAGAGGGAGCAGGAAACCUGAUUAGCAGUCCAUUAACCGCUGUCUAGCCAAACAGGAUGCUGACUUGGAAGGCCAGUGGAGAUGGAGGAAAUCAGAGAGAUACGGGAUCUGCUUUGGAGGUAGAGCCAGCAGGAUGAAAGAAGAAUCCAGGAUGCUGCUGAAGUCUUGGGGAGGUGCUCACGUGGAGUGUGAGGUCUCGCCUGACCCCAGGCUGGCAGGUGGCCUUUGUCUCCGCGAGUCAGAAGGGCAUCAAACCACGACCUGAGGUUUAACUGCACAGCCCUGGCGACGGAACAAGGCUGCUAUUACGAGGGAACAGAAUCAACAGGGAAGCGGCAAGCGGGAGGCAAGCUUUAUGCUCUGUGGUUUCGCCCCAGUAGGAGGACGUGAUGACACCUCCAGGACAAAAGAAUACACUCUGUAGUUGUAUCACUAUAAAGAAAGAUUGGGAGGCCUGUCUGAGAAGGUGCCAUUUCAGCCUGGAUGAGGGAAGGAAGGAAUGAGCCAUGCAGAUAAAUGAUUGCCAGAAGGACCAGUAAAGGCUCUGAAAUGGGAGAGCUGGAAACCAGUAAAUCUUAGCAUACAUGCCCAUUUCUAGCCACUGAAAAUUAAAUUAGCGAAUAUUAAUUACUUCACGGUCAUAAGGAAAAGGAUCCUGAGAUGCGUUGUUUCCCGUCUACUCUGAGAUGCUUCCCAGUAGGAGGGGCACAAUGAUAGGAUUCUGUGUGUGGGUUGCUCUAGAACAGUGGUUCUCAACCUGAGGCGAUCCAAACGUUCUCCCCACCCCCCUUCUAGGGGACAUGUGGCAGCUACAGGAGCCGAGGUUGCCUGUCAUGACCGUGGAGGGGUGCCGCCAGCAUCUGGGGUCUAGGCCCAUGAAGCUGGCAGACACCCCACAACGCACAGGACAGCCCCCUGCAACGCAGAAUGACCCAGUCCAAAUGUCAACAGUGCCGAAGAUGAGAAUCUCGGGUCUAGAGAAACUGGAAAAGAUGGAGAAGGGAGAAAAUGAAUGGAGGGCACUGCCUACUUUUGUCCAUCUGGAUCCGCCCUACUCACAGAAAGGACUUUGGACCCAUAUUUAACCAACCGUCAGAAGGGAUUCAAAAGGAGGCUAAUUGAACACUGAGAUUUUUGAAGCUCUCAAACGAUGACCCAAGUGUUUUCUUGAAAACAGCAGCAGCUUGGCAGGAAGCAGGAAUUAGACAAGAGAAUUGAUGGAAACCUGCCCUCCAAAUGGGAAGAAAAACUUCCAAUGACAAACUGUGAGGCCAGCCAUGGCAGACCUCAACCGAGUAAGUUACGAAAAGGCAAGCUAGGAAACCACACAGGCACACAUUUCCCUUGGGCAACAUCAGAUGAGAAAGCGAUGCUUUUCCAUUGCAGGCGAAACAGAGAAACAGGAAACCCAGAGGCAACGACUUGCUUGGAGGCCUCCAAGUGCCGUGAGAAGAACAUGCCUGUUCAUUCAAGGAGGAUGAGAGACACCUAGAGCAGACCUUGAUGCAACCCACACCUUGAAGCCCAGCCCAGACAGUCUAGAUCAUCUGAAAACCAGCCAACUUGAAGAUGCUUUUAUGAGAAAAUGGAAGAAGCAAGAAUAUAAGUGACUUACCCAAGCUUCCACAACUUCCCCCAAAUUUUAUAACCUUCAAGGCCUACCAACCUGGAACCAGCUCUGAUUAAGCAUCUAUUAUAGGAGCCAGGCAUAUCUAGAUGCUAGAAAUACAACACUGAAUGGAAUAGACACUGGUGGUUUUAAAAUGUCUACAAGAAUCUGAAAAAGAAUAUAUAUAUGUCUAACUGAAUCACUUUGCUCUACACCUGAAACACUGUAAAUCAACUGUACUUCAAUAAAAAAAAUUUUUAAAGUGUAAACACAUUGGGGGAAAAUAUUCUGUGACACUCCCCCUUCAAAAGGCAGAAGCCUCUCCCUUUGAGCUCAGGCUGGACCUCAUGACUUGUUUCUAAGGAGUAGAAUAUUGUGCAGAUGACACUGAGCAACAUCCAAGACUAGUCAGAAAACACACUGCGGUUUCCUCCUUGCUCUUUCCCUCUGGAAGGCAACGGCCAUGUCCUGAGAACAUUCAAGCAGCAUUAUGGAAAAGUCCACAUGGGGAGGAACUGAGGCCUCCAGCCAGCAGCCCUGUGAGCUCCAUCUGAGCAGCAGAUCCUCCAACUCCAGUCAAGCCUUUAGAUGCUGGCGGCCUCGACCAACAUCCUGACGAUAUCGUGACUACUUACAAGAAACCUUGAGCCAGAGCCACCUGUCCAGACUGCUCUCAGUGAUUCCUAACCUCAGAAACGGUGUGAGAUAAGAAAUGUUUGUUAUUUUCAGCUGCUGAGUUUUGGGGUAGUUUGUUACACAGCAAGAGAUAAAUAAUACACCACCAAAAGUCCUGUUUUCAUGAUUCUUACAUUCUGAUGUUUGUUUAGGGGCAAUGAAUAAAUGUUUUUUGAGGAAAUGA
This is a long non-coding RNA of Eubalaena glacialis (North Atlantic right whale), 2640 nucleotides long. RefSeq lists it as uncharacterized. The record is from RefSeq and is a predicted model, not a curated record. NCBI's taxonomy places the organism in Eukaryota, Metazoa, Chordata, Mammalia, Artiodactyla, Balaenidae. The transcript has 12 exons.